This 353-nucleotide unclassified non-coding RNA is filed under the name soil metagenome. RNAcentral's name for it is "partial contains 5.8S ribosomal RNA, internal transcribed spacer 2, and large subunit ribosomal RNA". The stretch from base 1 to 120 matches the Rfam family "5.8S ribosomal RNA", at positions 35 to 154 of the family's 154-position model. The record is from RNAcentral.
GAUGAAGAACGUAGCGAAAUGCGAUAAGUAAUGUGAAUUGCAGAAUUCAGUGAAUCAUCGAAUCUUUGAACGCACAUUGCGCCCGCCAGUAUUCUGGCGGGCAUGCCUGUUCGAGCGUCAUUACAACCCUCAGGCCCCCGGGCCUGGCGUUGGGGAUCGGCGGAAGCCCCCUGCGGGCACAACGCCGUCCCCCAAAUACAGUGGCGGUCCCGCCGCAGCUUCCAUUGCGUAGUAGCUAACACCUCGCAACUGGAGAGCGGCGCGGCCACGCCGUAAAACACCCAACUUCUGAAUGUUGACCUCGAAUCAGGUAGGAAUACCCGCUGAACUUAAGCAUAUCAAUAAGCGGACGA